Molecule: ribosomal RNA, 253 nt
Filed under: uncultured bacterium
Lineage: Bacteria
Description: partial 16S ribosomal RNA
Rfam family: Bacterial small subunit ribosomal RNA
Source: RNAcentral
UACAGAGGUCUCAAGCGUUGUUCGGAUUCAUUGGGCGUAAAGGGUGUGUAGGUGGCGCCGCAAGUCGGGUGUGAAAUCUUGGAGCUUAACUCCGAAACUGCAUUCGAUACUGCCGUGCUUGAGGACUGGAGAGGAGACUGGAAUUUACGGUGUAGCGGUGAAAUGCGUAGAUAUCGUAAGGAAGACCAGUGGCGAAGGCGGGUCUCUGGACAGUUCCUGACGCUGAGGCACGAAGGCCAGGGGAGCAAACGGG